CCUUCUCACUACUGCACUUGACU
This 23-nucleotide non-coding RNA is filed under the name Cricetulus griseus (Chinese hamster). Lineage: Eukaryota; Metazoa; Chordata; Mammalia; Rodentia; Cricetidae. The record is from RNAcentral.